AUUGAACGGUGGCAGCGUGCUUAACACAUGCAAGUCGAUCGGUAACAGGUGUAGCAAUACAUCCUGACGAACGGCGGACGGGGGAGGAAUAUUUGGGAAUCUGCCCAUCAGCGGGGGACAACCCGGGGAAACCCGGGCUAAUACCGCAUACGUUCUACGGAGGAGAGCCGGGCAGCGCCAGGCCUGGCACCGAUGGAUGAGCCCAAGUCGGAUUAGCUAGUUGGCGGGGUAACGGCCCACCACGGCGACGAUCCGAAGCUGGUCUGAGAGGACGAUCAGCCACGCCGGAACUGAGACACGGGCCGGACUCCUACGGGAGGCAGCAGUGGGGAAUAUUGGACAAUGGGGGGAACCCUGAUCCAGCGACGCCCCGUGGGUGAAGAAGGCCUGCGGGUUGUAAAGCCCUUUCGGUAGGGACGAAAGCUCUUGUUCUAAUAAUGCAAGAGGUUGACUUAACCUACAUAAGAAGCACCGGCUAACUCUGUGCCAGCCGCCGCAGUAA
This 502-nucleotide ribosomal RNA is filed under the name uncultured bacterium. RNAcentral's name for it is "partial 16S ribosomal RNA". It matches the Rfam family "Bacterial small subunit ribosomal RNA", at positions 29 to 523 of the family's 1533-position model. The record is from RNAcentral.